Molecule: long non-coding RNA, 944 nt
Organism: Anopheles gambiae (African malaria mosquito)
Lineage: Eukaryota; Metazoa; Arthropoda; Insecta; Diptera; Culicidae
Exons: 3
Source: RefSeq, a predicted model, not a curated record
GCUUCUUUCCCAUUCGAAACCCGAACUAAUUUCGGCUUUUUGCACGAAGAAAGGUUCGAGCCAUCGCUUCCGCUCGAAGUCGAGCAAGGGUUCGAGCGAUAACCCAAGUAGCAGAGCCGAAGUUUUUCAGAGAUUUUUCUGUGUGCCAAAGCGAGAUGCCCUGUCUUCUCUCUCUAGAUUUUGGACAGCAAACCGCUGCGCGUGUAGAGGUGUGUGCGUGUGACGAACAACGAUGGAUGAAAAACGCGAGGAGCGAGGUCCGAAGUCUUUCGUUGGUCACACACACAUGCAUCUACCGUUGGAUUGCGCUACAUCGAGUCUACCCAUCUCUCUCGAUCUACCAUGAUUUUUUCUGCUAUCGCACUCAUCUGGGAGUUAGGCAUCCUCAGUCUGCCCAGAACUUUCGUUGUGGAAGGAUGUGCGGGAGUGAUGUGCGAUUUCUUGUGUCCCCUACUUUCCUUGUUUACGUUUUGCGCAGUGUUGCUUCUUCUUCCAUUGUGGAAUGAUUUAUCCUAGCUAACUUGUUGAGUUACAGGUGCAUGCGCCAUUCAUCAACGCCUACGUGUUGGCAUCAUCAACAAUCUUCAAAGUGGGUGACGGAAAGAAAUUGUUUUCCAGUUUUAAAAUAUUAAGCGUUCAGCACAACUCAGCCACAAAACAACGCACUGGAUUGCGCUAAGAACCUGUCGAAACGCGCGCAGCCCCCGGGAGCGGUAGGAGAAAGGAAGAACGAGAGGAGAAAAAACUAAAGCCAGCGCGCAGCUCUGAUGGUACCCCGUACGCGGUAAGAAGAAAAAAGAUCGAGAGGAGGAAGAACGGUAAAUUUGGAAGGGGGAGACCGUUCUGCCGUCUCCACAGUGUGAGUAUGCCAAAGCACGUGUUGGAAGGGAAAGAAAAAGUGUGGAAUAAACCGCAUGCGAAUGUGUGCAUACAGCAAAAGUAAA